CAGCCGCCACGGGAAUACAGAGGGUGCAAGCGUUAAUCGGAAUUACUGGGCGUAAAGCGCGCGUAGGUGGUUCGCCAAGUUGGAUGUGAAAUCCCCGGGCUCAACCUGGGAACUGCAUCCAAAACUGGCGAGCUAGAGUAUGGUAGAGGGUGGUGGAAUUUCCUGUGUAGCGGUGAAAUGCGUAGAUAUAGGAAGGAACACCAGUGGCGAAGGCGACCACCUGGACUGAUACUGACACUGAGGUGCGAAAGCGUGGGGAGCAAACAGGAUUAGAUACCCGUGUAGUCCCUGUCUCUUAUAC
This 301-nucleotide ribosomal RNA is filed under the name uncultured bacterium. RNAcentral's name for it is "partial 16S ribosomal RNA". It matches the Rfam family "Bacterial small subunit ribosomal RNA", at positions 509 to 807 of the family's 1533-position model. The record is from RNAcentral.